RNAcentral lists this ribosomal RNA (253 nucleotides) under uncultured Zavarzinella sp. RNAcentral describes it as "partial 16S ribosomal RNA". It matches the Rfam family "Bacterial small subunit ribosomal RNA", at positions 524 to 776 of the family's 1533-position model. Lineage: Bacteria; Pseudomonadati; Planctomycetota; Planctomycetia; Gemmatales; Gemmataceae. The record is from RNAcentral.
GACGAACCGUGCGAACGUUGUUCGGAAUCACUGGGCUUAAAGGGCGCGUAGGCGGGUGACCAAGUCAGGGGUGAAAUCCUCCGGCUCAACCGGAGAACUGCCUUUGAUACUGGUCGUCUGGAGUGAGGUAGGGGCAUGCGGAACUUCCGGUGGAGCGGUGAAAUGCGUAGAUAUCGGAAGGAACACCGGUGGCGAAGGCGGCGUGCUGGACCUCAACUGACGCUGAGGCGCGAAAGCCAGGGGAGCAAACGGG